AAAUAAAUUAGAAAUUAGUAACUCAAUUACCGAUCAAAAACAUUAAAAGUAAAAAAGAAUUGUUCAAGUCAAUGAUCGAUCAAAGGAAAGAAGGAUUCGAGUCGUUUUGAAAAGAAGAACAUGGCAAGCGCUGCCGAGGUAUGGAAGAAAAGGGCAAAGGUAUCGUGUUGUGUGGAAUAUAAUAUUAUAGAGUUGAUGAACCGAUAGGUCGGGAGGAAUUUGGGUAGAGUAGCAAUGUAAUAUAAUUUUAUCGAGUGACUGGCGAGUGGCAUCCAGAACAUAGACAAACUAAGUAGUCAGGAGGAAAGGGAUUGAGAUGGAUGGAAAUGAGAUGAGAUGAGUGGUUUACUGAUUACCGGGGAUAAAGUAAAGAACGGUAGAUAAAGUGGGAUUCCCGAGGAUGAUACGAGAUAGGGUAGAGGAGGAUGGGAUGAAAAUGGAAAUGGGAUGGGUAGAGAGGGUUUACAGGAAGUAAUGGGUGGCGUGGCGAGAGUCCGCGCGGAUGGAUCGAUUUGUUGGUGGUAUGGUAAGGUUGAUGAGUGAAAUGAGUUCCCCUUUUUCUUUAUGCGACAGCGGAUGUAACCAUGGAAGAAAAUGGAGGCGCCGUCUGUGUUUGUCCGUAGUAGAGAGUGUGAGGUGAUUUUGAAGAAAUAAGGAGGUGGAGUGAGAGGAAGAAUAGAGUAGAGUAGAGUAGAGUAGAGAAAGAAAGAAAGAAAGAGAAGGAGAUUAAGAAGAGAAAGGGGACGCGAGAGAGAAGGAGUUGCUAGAAAGGAAUAGAGAGAAACAGGGAAAAAGAAUAAAAGAGAGUAGAGGAAAGGAAAGGAAAGAAAAGAAAAGGAAAUGAAAGGAAAUGAGAUGGGAUAUGUGAAACAAUGAGUGUGAGAGGAUGAUUUGGUGGUAGAGAAGGAAGAAAUUGAUGAAUGGAAUGAGAUGAAAAUGGACGUGUGAUUUGAUUGACAAAAGUGAUUUGGCUCGAUUUUUUAGCACUUUUUUUUUGGGAAUUGGAAUUAACUUGUUGACAUUGACAUUGACACUCGUCUUGUCUUGCAGUAUAUUUCUCUUUUCUUUGAGUAUCGCACGAGCCAAGAGGAGCUUAUUCGCAUCCCAACGUGUUGCGAUAUGCGUUGUUGUGUUUCCCCGCUGCCACUGCAACGAGAGAUUCCCCCCCUUGUGGUGAAUCGUGGACGCCAAUGUUUUGCCAAGAUUCAAGCAUCGUCGAUCCUCCUCCCAGACCCAAUGGUAUCGUCGAUCGAAAGCGGGGCUAUUGUCAUUCAAGCAAGCGCGCGUGGAUAUGAUGUCACGGUGACUCAAAGCAAAAGAGGGGAAAAAGGAACGUUGCAAAAAGGGAUGGCAUUCGCGUAGAGGCGAGGGACAAACCAUCGCUAGAGAGCGGCCGAGGCCAAGGUGAAGAAAGACAACGUGAAGGGUUUCGGAGGACAACGUGGUUAUGCAGGGUUGGAGCGGGAGGAAAGGAGAGUGAGUGAGAGGAAGAAAGAAAGAGGAAUGAAAAAGGAACGAUGGAGAGAAUAAAGUAAAAAGAAAAGGAAUGAAAAAAAAAA
RNAcentral lists this long non-coding RNA (1559 nucleotides) under Schizosaccharomyces pombe (fission yeast). Lineage: Eukaryota; Fungi; Ascomycota; Schizosaccharomycetes; Schizosaccharomycetales; Schizosaccharomycetaceae. The record is from RNAcentral.